This 1923-nucleotide long non-coding RNA is filed under the name Solanum tuberosum (potato). RNAcentral describes it as "long non-coding RNA (STUB_LNC006901)". The record is from RNAcentral. Lineage: Eukaryota; Viridiplantae; Streptophyta; Magnoliopsida; Solanales; Solanaceae.
UCAAUAAUAAGAUGAGAAUAUUAUUUCCAUCGUGCACCAUGCAAAAAAGAAAAGAAGAAGAGAUGAAGUCUAAUCUGUUUUUGACUUCUUUAUCUCAUUCACGUCCAGGUCUGACAUGACAUUAGAGCUCUUUCACUUGGUCAUGAGUUUGAAACUUAAAAGAUCAAUCUAAUUACCUGUAUACAAAAAAGCUAAAAUGGUUGUAGGCAAAGGUAAUCUUAAAAAUAAUGUUAUGUUUUCUUCCUACUUUAAUUUAUGAACUGUUCUACCAACUACUUUUGAAACUCAUAUCAUAUUUCACUGAUAUUACUCCAUAUUUGUACCAUCUCUUGAUGCAUUAUGAACAAAAAGAGGGCUCCAAAUAUCUUUCCCAUUCAUCAGAUUUUUUAUUACCAUCAUUAAACUUUCAUAGUCAUAUAAAUAAUAAGCUCUUAUUAUGCAAUCUUAGAUUUCUUAUUCUCAAACCUCCAACCUUCUUGUGAAUCAUUACUUUUUGUCAUUUAAUAAUUGUAGUUUUCUCUUAUUUAAUUUGUGUCUUGCCUUUCCAGUUUCCACAUGAGGUCACUUUUUAUGGUAUUCAAAUUUUCCUCAACAUAACCAUGCAACUUUAACAAAAACAAUAAGUAGGUUGAAAUUUUAUCCAACACACUAUUAUUAACUAAAGUGAGUCUUCCAUCGAAAGACAAAUAUUUUUUUUAUGAGAAAUUCUACAUGGUGCACCUCCCAUUCUAUCAACCUGCAACCUCUUUACCCAAUCCGAAUAAAAAAUCUCUGUCUUAGCACUCUAAAAGAUUUUAAGAUAUCUUGAGGGUUCAUUUUCACUAUAGAUAUGCAGAAUUCAAUCUAUUUCAGUCUUCUGCUUUUUUCAAAAUUCAAUCUAUUUACUUUGUAGUAUGCGUAGGAGUGCAUCUCGCUUACCUAAAAAAAAUCGAAAGUUUUUUAAACAUACAAUUACAUAUUAAGGUUUUAAACUAAAACUAAAAUUCCUUACCCCUAUUUACGUCUUUCAGCAUCUUCAUACAAAUUAUUACUUAAAUAUUACUAACAUUUACUCGACAAAUAGCAUAUAAACUUAUUUAAUAAAAUUUAUAUAUAGUAGAGAAACUAACAACAAUUAAUUUUAUCAUUGGCAUAGUAGAACUUAAUACACAUCACUUGAGUCGACAGAUGAAUAAAUAGCAACUUCUUAAUAUAAUAUCUCUAUUUACGAAGGUAAAUGCUACUUACACUAACCUCACUUAGUUGAAAUAAGUGAAAACAUAUAGGUAGACUUUUUCAUGUCAAUCGAUCCUCCUAACCUGAACACAUAAACACAACAAAGUUUUAGAUUAUACAUACAUUUUUACUCAUGCAAGUUAUAAAAAGGUGAUACAUUUUGUUGUAGGAGUAUCACCACUUGAACAUCAAAUAUCUAGCUAACAAAUAUUUAUUUAACAAAAAAAUGAUAUAUAAUGCAUAUUAUAAUUAUUGAAUAGUUCUUUCUAGUGAAUGUCAAUAAUGCAUCCUUGGAAUUGUUAAAUGAAAGAUGAUUUCCUAAUAGAAUCCUUAAGGGGGCAUUUCAUCAAACACCUUGGUAGUGUAAAAGUUCAUUCAGAUCUCAUAAAAGCAUUUGAACACACACCCAAAAUGCAAGUAUAAGUCUUCUAAUAAAACAUGAAGAGCAAAAUCCAAUAUGAAAAAAUCUUAUCCAGAAACAUCAAAAUGUAUAAAGCCUAAGAGAACUUCAGAAGUAAAAUAAUGGCUCCCAAGAUGAAAUCGAGCAAAAUCAAAGGUCGAUAAUCUUUCGGCCUCGUUUUUUUUGUGUAUUGAUCCCACAAUUAGUAGAUAUGAAAAAAAAAAAAAUCAAGAUGGAGACUUCACUAUAUCAGGUGUUCAAAUGAAUUAUUGGCGAAAAACACAUGCUCUUAAGAGUAUCCAACACAC